CCCAUCAUAUAUCCGAAACUAAAAAAAAAACUUGAAAACCGCCGGAGGGUGUCAUAUUUUUGGAGGGCGGCGCACAACGCAACACUACGUCUUGGCCGAAAUCUGCAAUCUUCCUCUAUUUUUGCUCCUUUCUCCACCAUCGAAUCUCC
Caenorhabditis elegans is the source of this 149-nucleotide non-coding RNA. Lineage: Eukaryota; Metazoa; Nematoda; Chromadorea; Rhabditida; Rhabditidae. The record is from Ensembl.